This 6046-nucleotide long non-coding RNA is filed under the name Lynx pardinus (Iberian lynx). The record is from RNAcentral. Lineage: Eukaryota; Metazoa; Chordata; Mammalia; Carnivora; Felidae.
AAAAGAAGUGUUCAGAUAUGUGUCACAGAUUUAAAUAACAUAAAAACUCAGGAAAGCUGGGGAUCUGUGUGGGCUGCUGGAAGUACGAGUCGGCCUUUGACACAAGGCUGAAGCCUAAUGAGACGAUAUUUCUCUAAGGCUCUGGGCAUUUCUCUUCCCUAAGUCAGUUGACUUGGGCAGGGGGUUGGUGAGAGAAGGCUUCACGGAGCAGAGUCUUACAGGAGGAAAAGGAGUUUCGAAGGCCGACAGAGGACGUGAGGAGAGGAGGUAAGUGGGCCUUGUAGGUGGCCCUGUAGGAGCAACAUGGGCAGGCCCAGGGGUAGGAGGUAACAGGAAGUGCUUCUAGCAGAUGCAGGAAUGAUCUGUGAGAAGAGCUUAGAAGAGGUAGGCCAGGGCUAGAUGGUGGGAGGCCUUGCACAUCACAUCAAGGAAGACGAGUUUUCUCACGUUGGCAGUAGGGAAUGUUGAAGACUUCUUGUCCAAGAGGAGCUGUGGUCAUAUCUGCGUUUUCGAUGGCACUGUGGUGCCAGGAAGGAGAUGGGACAGGAGCAGAUGCAGGCAGAAGAAGACCCUCUGCGGACUGAGGGGAGAGCCAGGCACUGGCCUGUUUGCAGUAGCUUCGCCCUCAACAGGCCCAUGGCCCUCUUCCUUGUUUCUCAUGCUGCACCAAGAGGAGUAUAGGCUGAAUAUUUUUAAAACGCUGACAUCGAGAUGAAAAGGCUGCGGAAACAAAGAGCACAAACACGUCCUCUAUGUUGUUGAGAGUUAACAUCCAUGAGAAAUAUGCAUGCAUGUCGGAGCAGAAAAUAAUGAGGCAAUAUGCUUCCUUAAGCAGAUUCAGUGCAUCCUGGCCAGGGCCCCAAUGGGCAGAAGGGGAGGACGGCUGGAGGGGUGCCUUCGCUGUCUGCGCGAGCUGCUCCUUUCCAAGCAGACAGGUCACUCAGUGCUUUCUUCCAGGCAAUUAUUUUCGGGAUGACUAGCGAUUUUGACCAACCAAUCAAGCUUUGAUAGAAGCCACUUUCUAUUAAAAAAAAAAAUGUCCCCAAUCUUUAACUCGGAGAGAUUUUCUUCAGUGUGGCUUGAAAACCUCAAGUUUUCAAUUAAUGUCUCUCUCCCCACCUCCUGCAUCCUGCUUUUGCUUUCAUUUGGGGAGCUAGAGUGUUCAUAGGCUUGCCUGAAUUUCCCACGCGGGAUGUGUGUGUGUGUGUGUGUGCGUGGUGUGUGUGUGUAUUUUAAAGGCUUCUUUCUGGCUUUCUCUCAAUGAGGAAUGUUCCACGAAAAAGCAGAAUGAUUUGUGAGCAGGAGGCUGAGUGAAGGAGAAGGACUGAGAAUACAGACUGUGAGGUGUAGAGGAUUCUGACCCUGGGCUGAGGGUUUCAGGACCAGCCCCCACCAGGGUUAUGCAGAGAGAGGCAGGGUGCAUGUUUUCAAAUGCAGCAGGCGUGGCCCUGCUUCAGAAUACACUGGUGAAUAUUUUGAAUUUUAAUGGAUACACAUCUAUUUCAGUGUGAUUUAUUCCAUGGAAAUCAUUGCUUUUCUUUUAAAAUAAAAUUAUUUGCAUAAGGUAUGAGUGACUUAAAUAAAAAUGUGAGGUAAAUAUUAGCUCAGAUGUUUUGUGGAACAUGGCAAAGCUCUUAAAGGUGGCACCUGAAUGCCUUAAGAUUAGGAGACUCUGGAAUGAAUUUUGGGAUCAGAGAGACAUGGAUAAAAUUCAGGCUCUGCCUUUCCUAAAUGUGUGCCUCUGGGAAAAUUGCUUAAUAUCUCUGCAUCCUAGUUUUUAAUUUUUAUUUAUUUUUAUUUUUUAUUUUUUUAAGUUUAUUUAUUUGAGAGAGAGAGAGAUGGAGAGAGAGAGCAAGUCAGCACAAGUAAGGGGAGGAGCAGAGAGGGAGGAGACAGAAUUCCAAGCCGGCUCUGAACUCUCAACAGAGAGCCCGAUGCGGGGCUUGAACUCAUGAACCAUGAGAACAUGACCUGAGCCAAAGUCAAGAAUUGGACACUUAACCGACUGAGCCCCCUAGGAGCCCCAGUUUUUUUUAUUUUUUAAUCUGUAAAAUGUCAUGUACCUUUCCACAUUGUUAUGGGGUUUGAAAAUUGAUUUGUUCAUUCAUGUAUUCAUUUGAUCAUCAAUGAACAUCUGCUCUGUGCCACUCACUGUCUGGGCACAGGGAAUAUAGCCGUGCGCCAGACCACUUAUUGCUCUCAUGGAGCUCCCAUUCUAACGGGGAGGGUAGAUAAUAAAUGCAUAAAUAGAUAUGGAAGAAACUGUCAAGUUCUAAGAAAAACAUAGCAGAGUGAGGGAGAGGUUAUAGCAGAGCUUCUGAGAAGGAACAUGUUGGGUGCGUUUGAGGAAUGGCAGGGUGGUCACAGGAAGUGGAUGGGGGGAGAGGGAGAAAGGAAGAAAUGAGCCAGUAGUCAGAUGCCAGGGAAGAGAGUGCCUGGUAGGGUGGGGUGGAGACCGUAGGUUUUAUUUUAACUGUGACAGGAAGAGGAGUGAUAAAUACAUUGCAUCCAUUCAUAAUGACACAUUCAACUAAUAUUUGAAUAUCCAUUUACCUCGUGCUCAACUUGUGCAGAGUACUACUUUAGGCUCGGAGGUCUGGGAAAUACCAAUAUAAGCUGGACAAGGGAGCUCCAAUUCUUGUUGGAGAAGCACUAGUCUAAUCAAUUAAUAUCUGAUAUUCAUCCAGUGCCUGCUGUGUGCCAGGCAUAGUUCCAAGUGUUUCCUUUUAACAGAGUAGCUCAUGUGGUCCUUGGAAAACAAAACUGUAUAAUCAGUUAUUAUCUCCAGCUUGCAGAUGAGGAAGCUGGGUCCAGAGAGGCUUACCACUAUACAUAUCAGAGAGGAGCGGGAAAUAAAUGCACUCCCUUUGAGGGUCAAAGUAGAGUGGGGGUGCAGAGCAAACAUCACCUCCAAAGAGGGAGAGCACAGCCAAGGGACUCUCGGUGCUCUGGAGUGAGGCUUGCCACCUACCAUCUGUGAUGAUGGCCACGUCGCCUCUGUGCUCCGUGCUUCUGUUUCCUCAUCUGUGAAAUGUGGCCAGUAGGGGUACCCACCCCAUAGGAUAGCUGUGAGGAUGAAAUGGGACAGUGCAUGGAAAAGGCUUUUGCACAGAGCCUGGCAUAUGACAAGUGUCUCUCAGGUCUUAGAGAUACAGUUGUAAGGCAUUAGGGAAAUACUCAUGAUCUCGGCCUGGGCCUUGAGGAGUGAGUGAUAAGAAGCCCAGGUAGAUAGGUUAAUUCUACGUUGACAGAACAUCUCAGGAAAUGAAUAGAAUGUUGAUGGCUCAUGGUGUGCUGGGUUGGUGGAUGAGGGUAGAGUGGACAAUUCUUUUCAUUCUAUUAAUAUGCAGCAUCAAGGAGACAUUGACUGCCAUCCUUAGCACAGUGAACUUUUUUUUUUACAGGCUACAGCGUAGCUUUGGUCCUCUGAGCACUGGGGAGCCCAUGAUCUGACCUGUGCAUUUGGAGGCAUUCCCAGCAACAACACGAAAAGACUACAGUGGCCCAGGUGGUCAACACUGAACGUUUCUGACCAGUACCAAGAAAGGGUGGAGAGAAGAGGUGGAAGGUAGAGUCAUCUCAGAGGUGGAAUCUACAGGGCUUGGAGCCUGAAUUUGCCAACUCUUUGGAGCUACGUGUGUGCACACGUGUGCACACACACACAUGCACACACACACACAGCAGGAGAAAGCCAGAUUCACCCCACCCCAGACUUUCUGUGGCCUGUUGGGGAUGAGACUACUUACAGUGCCUUAGUUUUCCAUUCUGUAAGAUGGGAAAAAUAAAACCAGAAUCUCAUGGCUCCCAAUGGGAUAUAGUUAUAUAUUAUGUUAGCAUUGAGAACCCUGUGGAAAUGCAGACUGGUCCCCUUCCUCCUGCUAACAGAGAACAGUCUUUCUACCAGAAUACAAUACCCACCACUUGCAUUUUCUGGGUAUCAGAAAGCAAUGGUUUGGGUUUGAGCUAUUCACUCACUUAUGAUCUGAGAUUAUUCUAAAAAGACUUCGCAGCUUAGUCUAAUUGGGUAAUUGGGAUGUUUCCAGAUGAAAUUUGACUUGUAUUUUUAAAAAACGCUUUGAAGAACUGGUUGCCAUGGUGCUGUUCUGCUGACAAGAUCCUACACUGGCUCCCACUAAGCAGCAAUAAUGGGCUUCUGUUUAGUCUGAGUUUCAGGUUACCCUACCUGAACAACCUCUGGAAGGAAGCAAGGUGUGAACCUGGGGGAAUAAGAGCAGUCCUUCCCUCAGUCUCCUUGAUGGGGGAUGUGUUUCAGCUGAUGGGGAGGUUUGUCACUGUGGGGGCGGGGGACCCGUGCCUAAGCAGGAGGGACUUCCCAGACCGCCUCGCCCCUGGGCAGCUGGGAGUUGAGGAAGAAUCCCCAGCACAUCAUCUGCCACAAUAUAAAUUGGGUGGCUCUCUCAGGAUGUGAAUACUAAUCCUCUCAUAUUUUGGGCAAAUAGGUGUUUGGCAGAGACAAUUAUCUUUAUUUUAAGAAAUAACACGGUUUUAAAAAUUAAUAUUUAUGUUUUCAUAGUAUUACUGUUUUAAAUUGGAAAAAGCCUUUGUUCUAACUCAAUUUUUCAACCUACUGGACAAUAAUUCCUCCCCAUCGUCCUUAAACUUCUUGUAUCCGAGUGUUUAUUAUAAGAAUGUGAAACAUCUUCGCCAGAUGCAGUAUUUUUGGCUUCAUUAAAAGUUUUUCUAGUUCCUCUUCAGUCAUGUCAAUAUUUACCUUGGGCCAUGCUUUGUAUCCUUUUGUUUAUAAUUCCAGAAUUCUCCAAGACAAACUGAUUAUUCAUGACUCUCUGGCCUAAGUUACAAUUUAAACAUACCUUAUGUUGACAUUUUGAGAGUAUGAGUCCCCAAACCAUUUCCUGUACUUCUUCUCAUAGAUUCAUAGUCUGUGACCUGCUGUAGUCAUUUCAUGCCUUGUAUUUCUCUUUUCCCUUUCAGAUAUCUUUCAAGUACAUCUUUUUCGUUGAUUAUACUUUUAGAACAUUAGCAAGCGAAAUUUCUCUUCCUUUCCUUUUAAAAUCACAGGAUCCCUCUAUCCUGCCAAAGAUGCUUUUACAACACUGUGUAGGACCCACAUUUUUUGAGCACUUCCAUUGUUUGUUUAGGGUGUACAGUCUUCCGUGUUGCCCAUUUCCUUUCGUUAAAUUUCUGGCUGCUGAUGAGGAGAACAUGUGGCCCAGUCUUCACUGUAUACAGACUAUAGGAUAUAAGUCUAAUAACUACAGUAUAGACUAAAGUUUAAACCCUCCAGUGAGUAAAAGGAAGCCUUAGUGACCAGACAACAUCAUAAAGCUAUAGCAUGUUUUUCUUCAGAAGCCCACUGAUAUAGAGCCAUUUUUCUUAAUUACUCAGGAUUUUAUGAUUCUGUGUGUUUCUUUUAGUUCUCUACAUGUGCCUUACGUUGUAGAGGAUUUAAAAUUUACGAAGUAUUUCACAUGCAUUAUUACUUUCGAUCCUUAUAACAACUUUGUGAGGGAGACCCAGAGGAUUCAAAUGACCUGUCUGAGAUCACAAAGCAAGUUAAGUAAGAUACAGUUUUCGCCCUUGAGGAUAUUUAUAUUAAUAAAUGAUUUGGCUUUAUGUAAGUCUUUCUAUUCCUUUACAACACUGUACUUUUUCUUGUUUUGGGGAUGUUGCACGUGCUGUUUCCUUUGCUUGAACUACCUGACUUCCCCCUCAGACUAGCCAAACUCCUACCCGGUUUUCAAAUGUCAGCUUUGAUUUCACUUCCUCUAGAAGCAUUCCCCCAACUCUAUGCUAGGAUUUCUUCUUUUGUGCUCCCAUGACACCCUUAAAAAUACAUAAGUUUAUCAUAGUGUCUGUCACCUAAUGACACUUCCUGACCACGCACUGUUAUUAUCAUUCCCCACCCCAUCUCCUACCACAUGUGUAUUUCUUGCUGGCCGUUGUACCCCCAGUACCUCACUCUGGGAUGGCACUCAAUAAACAGUUGUUAAAUAAAUGAAGGAUGCACAUUGUGUCUUCUCAUUGAUAUAGUCUUGGAUCCUUGAGCUCAAGAACAAAUGCCACA